AGUGAACGCUGGCGGCAGGCCUAAUACAUGCAAGUCGAACGGCAGCACAGUGGAGCUUGCUCCAUGGGUGGCGAGUGGCGGACGGGUGAGGAAUACAUGGGAAUCUGCCCAGUCGUGGGGGAUAACGUAGGGAAACUUACGCUAAUACCGCAUGCGCCCUUCGGGGGAAAGCCGGGGACCUUCGGGCCUGGCGCGAUUGGAUGAGCCCAUGUUCGAUUAGCUAGUUGGCGGGGUAAAGGCCCACCAAGGCGACGAUCGAUAGCUGGUCUGAGAGGAUGAUAGCCACACUGGGACUGAGACACGGCCCAGACUCCUACGGGAGGUAGCAGUAGGGAAUAUUGGACAAUGGGCGCAAGCCUGAUCCAGCCAUGCCGCGUGAGUGAAGAAGGCCCUCGGGUUGUAAAGCUCUUUUGUCCGGGAAGAAAAGCAUCGGGCUAAUACCUCGGUGUUCUGACGGUACCGGAAGAAUAAGCACCGGCUAACUUCGUG
Molecule: ribosomal RNA, 489 nt
Filed under: uncultured bacterium
Lineage: Bacteria
Description: partial 16S ribosomal RNA
Rfam family: Bacterial small subunit ribosomal RNA
Source: RNAcentral